Long non-coding RNA from Neopelma chrysocephalum (saffron-crested tyrant-manakin), 359 nucleotides. RefSeq lists it as uncharacterized. The transcript is spliced from 4 exons. NCBI's taxonomy places the organism in Eukaryota, Metazoa, Chordata, Aves, Passeriformes, Pipridae. The record is from RefSeq and is a predicted model, not a curated record.
AUGAGCAAAUUAAAGACCAUAACUGGGAUGUUUACAGCCGCAACAUGGUGAACAAACAGAUAAGGCUGCUGUGGAAACUGAAAGGUCACUGGACUUCAAGGACAAACUCAUGGAAAAUAAUCUACUGAGAUUGCUGAGACUGUGUGUGGCCCAAGAUGUCUGUGAACUGCAAAGGACUGGAGGAUAGAGGAGCACAGAGGAAACAGCGAGAUCUCUGUUCCCAGGAUUUUCUUCAUAAAACUGUUGAUUGGAUGACUAUGUUAAAGAAAUAAGAAGAAUGAAGAGGAGAAAAGGUGGAUUUUGUACCUUGCUCUAGAAGUUCUAGUUCUGGCUAGCAGUGGAGAAUGAUUAUUGGAAGA